AGCAACACACUGAAAGAAAUUUCUGCCCAAGGCCUCAAGGGGGAAAAAAAAGGCACUAGAAGGAAAAUUUCUCUACUGAGGAAGGCAGGGUGCUCCGUGAGCAGAGCACGGGGAGCUCCACCACCAACGCUGAGGUGGAGGCGGGCUCCCCUGGCAUUCAGACCCAGUGGGAGGAAGGCUGUGCCAGACGAAACCCAGAGAAACUGCAAGCUCUACUUUAGAGUCAACGUAAGAACUCACAUUCUAUAGCUUUCAGGAAAAGGCAAAUUCUGUGUUUUAACCAGAAACAUAAGAAAAAAAGGAAGAGGGAGACUGGUAGGAAGGAAGAGGACAGAAAACUCUAGAAAACAGUCACACAGCUGGUGUUCAGGGUGAAGCUGUCGCUGGAACCCUGAACUUUUGCUUCUCAGGGAUGGACUGUGAAGUUGCAGCGUGUUAUAAUGGUGUUAGGAGCAGCGCGUGAUCAGAGCACACGGAUCUGCACAGUGUUAAAACAUGGUGACUUCAACCAUUUGACUAAGAUCUUCCACUGUAGCCAAAUCUACUGCACUGUUCCAACAGUUUCCCAGAAUGGUAGUAAUUACAGAAGAACAGAAAAAAAAGAUGGACAGGACCCAGAGAAAAUGUCAGUUUACUAGUGUUGGGUGGAGGUAGAGAUGAUGCAUUUGUAUAACUUAACACUUUUUGAGCAUUUCUUUGUGACCACAGAUUCUUUACCUGAAGUCCAUGAUAAGAACUGAAACAUUCAAUAUGAGAAGAUGGUUUGCAUCUUUUACAAAACUGUCACUGAAAUGCUGCAUUCCCUUCAUUACAAAUAUGUCUGAGUUAACCAAGUGUGGGACACUCUAGCUUGAACAGAAGAUUCACAGACUUCACCAAGGCUGCCAAUCUGAUAGUCAGCGCUGACAUGAAUGUCAACCAAAACCCUCUUGGCAUCAUGAAAAAUGGCUCAAUGGGGAAAUUAAAACUUUUGUAAACAAAACUAUGGACUGAGUUCAAAUGGGCUGAGAAUUCAUUUUUUAUUCCAGGGAACUCCUUUAUCUCUGAUUAUCACUAUAAUGGAAAUUGAUAGAUCUUCUACCAAGAAUUCAAUCUCUGCACAUAACUUUUGUCCUCUGAAGAAUAUGGAGUGUGUAAAACUGUCACAAACAGUAAGAUACUGAGAGUCCACAGCCUCUAGCAUCCUCAACUACAACGGGAAUUCCUCAUGCAAAAAGAGACCAGUUGAAAUGGAAGGCUUGUUGAGUACAGAAACAAGGCCUCAAUGUGUUGUGUGAUAUCUUUUAAUCCCAGGGAAGGCACAAAGAUAGAAGCUGAAUGAUCAGUGAAAGACACAGCUACACCAUCAUCGUCAUAGAUGGGAUCUCAUUUGAUCUGUCUGAGGUCACUGUGAGAAAAGGACACUUGGACAUGGGCAGAGCCAAAUUCUCCACCCACCUGCUGUCAGGGAUAUUGUUCCUGAGGAUCAUGAACAAAAUCAGGGGUAAGCAAGACAUACUUGGAUGCUGAAAAAUAUUAAAUAGCUCUUUCUCACUAUGUGGGGAUCAAACAAUUUCCAGUAUGUAAGAGCACACUCUAAGGAGUAAGAGAAAUUGACACUGAGUUUACAUCUGCAAAACAACGAUGAGAACAUAGGUGUCUCUUUUAAUCCCUGCUUGGCUUCUAUAUGCUCUUAAGGAAUCCCUUGAGAUCACCUGAUCCAGGAGCAUAUCCAGAAAGUAAGUUCACUGGCCGUCCUUACUGACGAGUGCCCCUACUUUCUCCAGAAACUCACACACCUAACUUCAAAUUGUGUUUCCACAGCACAAGCUACAAUUGAUUUCCACUAUAACAGGCACGUUUAAAAAAGGAAACAUUGCUAGCAAAAUUAAACAAAUGAUCAAGAGACUUGAACAAUUGCUUUUAAACUCUUUCAAAGAGAUUAAAAGGGGGGAAAGGGGACAGACUGGAAUAGCAAAGCACUUCCCAGCCUGCAAAAGGGAUCACCUCCAGAGAUAGACAGAGGCAAGUAAUGGCUCUGAAAAAUGCUGCUCUGGGCCCUAGAACAAAGGUGACUCUAAGACAUGAGUUGUCUACCUGAUCACCUAGGCAAUCUUCCUUAACAGCAAGACAAGGCUAAGAUUGACUCAAAAUCCACUCUAAAAUUCUGUGUCUAUCUGCAACACACUUAGGAAACUCACAGGUUAAAACUUGUACUCAUUGUGAAGCAACCAAAAUUUAUUAGUGAAAGUAUUUCCCUCUCUUACACAUGUAAAUGAUGAGAACCAGAUCUAUUGGGGAGAGAGAGAGCCAGGAGGUUGGGGAUUCUCCCUUAAAUUAAAUUUGUUUCUUCCUCUCAAGUAUUGCGCUUAGGAAAUAGCUCCUUCUAGUCUAAUCCAGAAGUCAGUUCUUUCCAUGGAGUCUCAGAUUCAAUUUCCCAUACCUGGGAGAACAACAAGCAGACACAUUGCUUUCAUGUGCUCUUCAGAACAGGCAAAAUUCUGACCCAGAGACGGGGGAUGUGUUCUUCAUCUAAGAAAAUGUGAUUCAUUUUACUUGAAUUUGUGUACUUUCUGUAUGUUUAUAUAUGUGCACAAAUAUAUACACACACAAAAAAAAACUUUUGGAAGGAUGCUCAGCUUCUGAGAAUGGGAAUGAAAUGGAAAGAAUGGCAAAGAAAGAAGUAAACUUCACUCAAUUUAUUCUUGUAUUGUUUACAGUAUUAUUCUACCUCCUUCAAGUUGCUAAAAAUUUCCUAACUGUGUUUCGUUUUCUCUCUCCAUAGGAAUGAGUGAAGGUGAGAAGAAUAGGAAAGGGAGAGAUUAUAAUUCCCUUUCUUCCUCUCCAUCACCUUUUUCUCACCUCCCAUCCUCCUUCUGCCCAAGAUACACACACACAAAAAGAGGCCCUCUCCUGAGAAUGCUCUUCCCUUCCCAAUUUUGUCUGGGCAAUGCCUUUCAUCUUGCAAGUCAACCUUCACAUUUUAGCUCUUUGAGUUUCCCACCCCACCACCUAGUAGGUCAAGGACACCUCCUCCAUGUUUCCAUGGCCUCUCUAUGAUGCGUUAAAGUCCCACCCACAUAUAACCUGCCUCUGCGGAUAAAAGGAACUUGCUGUUUAUCAUCAGCACCUAGCACUGUGAUCAGCAGUUAACAGGGGCCCAGUGACAUACUGAGUGACUCUGAGCUGAGGUACCCUAAGUAAACAUCUCUUUACACAGUAUACACUUGAUCUAGUCACCUUUAAAUCUUUGUUUAAGCAAACAUCAGGUUAUGAUCCAGCUGGAAAACAUCAGAGUGUAAGACAAGGUGUACAGAUAAAGACAGUUUAGAAUAACAUAAAUCAUACCAGCAUUUACCAUUCCCUUCUCUGACCUUCCCCACACUCAUCGCAUCAUGAAAGAUCACUCAGAUCUUGGCAGCAGGCUCUGGCAGACUGAAAAGGAGCCAUACCUGUUUUUCAGUCUUUAUUUUGAAUUUUUAUUGACAUUUUUACCUGUGUUCUGCCUGAUGUCUUUCAGGCAAGCUCUGAUACAACUGAUUGAUAUGCUGUUUUCCCUCUGCAGGUCUGCCCAGAGGGAAGGAAAGGGCCUCAGAAGGGCUGACGAGGUGUGUCUAAAGCAGCCAGUGAAUCAGACACUGGAGCCAAAGCUGACUCUUUGAAUUCUAAAAGUGAAUAAUGAGAUAUCUUGAGAUUAGCUCAGUAGCACUAAAAAAAAGUCACUAGGGGGAAAUGGCCACAUCUUCUGGAAAGUAAGAGGCUGCUCCCUAAUUCAGCCUAUAGGGACAUUCUGGAAAGUAAGAGAGUAAACUAUAUGAUGGUGAAUGUUUAAAUAAAAAUUUAUCACAAGAAAAGACACAUUGCCAUUCAUUCCCCUCAAAAUAAUUUCCCUAGCUUCACACAUUUUUUUUUUUUUUUUUUGCCACUUUCUAAAGCAGUUUUGGAAGCCUCUUUUUGUGAAUACCUUUAUGAAGUGUGAUAAAAAAUGUGUUGCCUGGAGCUACUGAGUGCCCUCCAAUGGAAAAAGUGGUCUCAAAAGAACAUUAGGAUGUGUCUUCAUUUGUCUCAUUCACCAAAUCUGGCACCAUGUGAUCUCUGGUGCUUCCCAAAGUCAAGAUGAUGAUGAAAGGUAAAGGUUUUGAAUUUAUUCAAGACCCCAAGAUAUCCAUGCCUUAAGACAUUUGUGAAAGAGGACUUACAGAAAGCUGCAUCAAAAAGUCACAAGGAUGAUGAGGAUAUCCAAGUGCUUGCAUAGGGUGGGAGUUACAUCAAAGGGGAUUAAUGGUAAUGUGUCUUUCACUGUAAUAAGUUUUUUAUUUAAACACUUGCCUUAGACUUUUUUCAAUCUUGCAGUAUACAGUUCAUGCUAGUUCCACUUUUCCACCAGAUGGCUGCUCCCUAAUUCAGCCUAUAAGGACAUUCUGGAGAAAACAAAGAGCCAUAACCCUUCCUUCCACCCAUUUGCAGAGCUGCUCUCAGGUUUGCAGUGUCCCCAAGCCUGAGGGAGCAGAAGUGAGGAUGAGGAAAGGAAGAGACACAGGGACCAGCAUAGACCGGUUCUUUCUCAUAUCUUCCUUCUACAGAGAAGCAUGCUAACACCCAGACAGACAAAGAGGCCACAUCCCUCUGGUGGUGAACCAUGGCAGGCUUCUGAGGGGAAUUCGGGUCUCUUCAAUGCUAGUCAUGAUGGUUUCUCUCGCCUGGCUUUCAAAUGAGGACAACAGUUAUUGAUUACACUGUGCUAUAAUAUGAGUCUAGGACAGGGAUCAACUGUAGCUCAAAAGACUUCUCCACCUGACUUGCCAAUUUCCCAUAUAAAGUAUUGAUUUUAUUCUUUGAUUUUUUUGUAAAUGUACCCUUGACAAAGCCAAUAAAUGCUUAAGUGACUGUGAAUCUCUUAGGUAGAGUGGUUAAGGGCCAACAAGGGCCUGGAAGGAAGGGUGUGUGUGUGUGUGUGCGUGCUUGAAUGUGUGAAGAUUUCUAACUUUCCAAGUGGAAUAUAAUGCUAACAGGGAAGAGAUAGUUCUAGAUCUACUUUUUGUCUAGAGACAACUCUGGCUUCAGGGACUUUCCCAUCAGGAGUGUUCACCGUCAUUCCAAUCACAAGCAGGAUGUGGGCUCACUAUUCUAUACAUCCUGGCCUGGCUGUUCUUACAGCCAUAACCUCCCUUGACCCAGAUUCUCCCUGGCAGCCCAGGGAAAGAUGGCUCUAUGUUGAUCAGCAGACUGGGCUAUAAACUGAAAGGCUGCCAGGGCAUGUGUCAGCAGCUCUUCCUGGGAGCACAAGGUGAGAGGGCAGGGCGUGUGCUGUGUCCCACACUCAUCUGUAGAGUCCUAAACCACUUGCUCAUUCCCAUGCCUAUUCCUUCCCCCUCACAGUGGACUUUGGGCCAUUGCUUAACUCCCACAGCAGGGCUUCCUUCAAACCCUGACCAGUGUCCUAUUCUGGUAUCUCUGCCUUUAACACUUGUCCUAAGCUCCUUCUAAACACUGACCUGUCUCUACAGUUCUACUUACUUGGAGGAACCUAGAAUGGGAAGCGAGGAAUAAACAGGCUACUCCUGCAAACGCACAUCAAGGAAGCCUGUGUGAAGUGAUCUGACCUCCUCUUCCUCUUAAUGUUUCCUGUGAGGGUGGAUAAAGGAACCUAAUGCAUCCAAAGCUCUCAGAAGUUCUGGGGGACAAAGGUUAUGAGGGCCCAGAUUCUGCGCUUUAAUUGGGGUAUUUAAUAAUACCACUAAUAACUAGAUUUCCCCCUCCUUAAACAAAAUUUGAUUGCAUGAAUCUCCCAAAGGUCUCCUCUAGAUAGAAUUCUAAAAAGUCAACAAGUGGAAAAUAUUGCAGUCUUCAAUAAAGACUGACCCCAGACAGUGCUUUGCUGACACUGGGGGAGGGGACACAUUUCCUAUGCAGCAUGGAGAAUUCUUCCUUUCUGGAAAGUCUCAGAGGCUGAAGAGGUAAUGUGAAACACUAAAGUGAACUUGAUUACCGAGAUUUAAUAAGGUCUGACAUUUCUAUGCCUAAUCCUCAUAUAUAUUCCAUUAUGGUGAUUUUCCAAGGCAGUCCACCAAAAUGAAGCUGUCUUGGGUACAGAAGAGAGGGUGAAAGGCAAGAGGGACUAUAAUCAUUAAGAAAAUAAAAGCAAUCACAAAUAAUCCCAACAAAACUUCUGGAAAAAAACAGUCCUGAUUCAGAUUUUAAAAAAACAACUUCUCCCUUUAAAUUAUCUUCCAGACUCCAGUGAAACCCUAAACUACGUUAUUUAUAUGCUUACAUUAUGAAAUCCAAUGUAAAACUAAACAUUUUAAAAAUAGACUCAUGAAAUGACAUUGCAGAAAGCCAGGAGAAAGUAGGGUUGGUAAGAAAAUCCUUUGCAAACUCAGCCUGCCGGGAUCUGGACAGGGCAGGAAUUCAGUCUCCUCGCUGUAGCUCUGUAGGGCUUCUCUCUGUGGCUGAUCAGACAUUCUUCAGUGGUGCUUAGUCUAAAGGUAAAAAAGCUAAAAACUCACUCCAAAAAGCGAGCAGCUCCCUUUUCGUGACUGUUAGAACUCAGAAUGUCAGGCUUGUGUUCACAGUGACCAGAUGAGUGAAAUAUUACAGGUCUCACAUAGGGAGGCUUCCAAUAGCAUGAGUAAUUUUGUGCUAUUUUUGGAUGAUGUGCUUCCUUAAAACAAAGCGAUAAAUUAAAGUGGCCUCAGCAAUACAAUAAAAAUGUUGAACUGUGUUAAGGCACAGGGAAAAUGCAGUCUGAGUGUACAAAGAAGGAGGCAGAGGAUGGAAAGGUUUGGAGCUGUCUCUUGACUGGGAAAGGAAUGUAAACCGACCAGUCAGGCUGGUAUUGAAUUUGGGGACUCACACUGUGUCCAGUAUUGUGCCUGGGCCUGAGGAAUUGUUAAAGAGAAUUUCUGUUUGUUUGUUUCUGAAUAUUCAGUUCAUUCCUUGAAAGCAAGGACUUUAUUUGUGUUUUUACCAUCAGCCUGUGCCUUGCCCAGCCAGGUAACAUCCCACCUUCACUGACCUUGUUUUGGUCUUUGCUGGAAUCUUACCAGGCUCCCCAAAGUCCAGGCUCUAUUUCUCCAGGUUUACUUUGCUAAAUCCUACAUCCCACAUGUUCUCCCAGCUCCAGUUUAAACUCCCCGCCGCUCCUUAGUGACUCUGCCCUUUGCUGGUGGCUCCUUUCCCCCUUCUCCUGAUGCACUGAGGGCUAGAGCACACAGCAGUAAUACCUGGAUGAGCAGCAUCGAGAAAGGGCAUCUUAGGAGCAGCAUGGGCAGAGGCAGACCCAGUGCCCAAAGUGAUGCUAAGGGGAAAACUGGAGGGGCAGAGGGAGCUGGGAAGGGAGAGAAGCCAGCAAGAUGUCACUUGGGAAAUCUGAAACAGAGUAAAGCAAUCUCAGAGACAUCCCUCAAAAUGAUUCCCAGAAGCAUCUGCAAAAUAAAUAAAUGCAUUAGUGCUGAGUCCUCUACCCUAAAUCAUAAUGGCACACUGGAGAGAGGUGAUAGGAAAUAAAGGUAGAUUGAGAGAAGCUUCUUUUCUGACUCAGAUCCCUAUCCUUCCCACAGUGGCACUUCCUUUCUUCCUUUUGGUCAUGCUGUCUGUUCCUGCUUGGGUACUGUAGGUAUCUGUGGUUGAGCAGAUUUCUCAUGUGACCAUAUGCUCCAUGCUAUGGUUACAUAGGAGUAUUGUGCCCUGAAGGUCCAUAUGCUAAAGGCUUUCUGUUGAGCUGGUGUUAUUGGGAUGGGCUGUGGGCCUUGCUGGGGAUGUAGCCUUGCGUCCAGCUGUAGUCCCUUGUUUGCUUUUUCACACUCUCCUGACACAGUGUGCCACUAUUACCAGAGGCUAAGCCAACAGGACUUACUGAUCCUGUGUACAAAUCCCCAAAACUAUUAGCUAAGCAAAUCAUUUAUAUGCAUAAGGUUAGGUGCCUCUGGUAUUUCAUUGUGGCAGUGCAAAACUGACUAAUACCCUUCCCAAAACAGAAUCAUGAUAUUUUCUUUCACUGUUGUUUCAAAAGCUGAGUCUGGUGCAUGGGUAAGUAUGUGACAUAAAGAUCUAUUUUCAAUUAUCUGUCUUACUUGCUCUUUAUUUAUGAGAGAUGGAGGAAAGAGGGGAGGGAAUGGGGCUGAAAAAAGGAAUUAAGAUGUGUUAUAUACAUGUACCAAUGGCCCACAAGGAAUGUAAACAUUACGUGCUGCAAACAUGUACUAAAAAAAAGUUUUUUUUAAAAUUGAGUUACUAAAAACCAAGUAUGUGAGAGAAGAGUGGGUUCACCCUCAGAGUGCUGGUGGCAUUGACAAAUUGCUUUGGAAAGAGCAUUCUAGAAGUGGGAAGCUAGUUAUCAGGGAGUGAUUAGAAAUGGCAGCUCAGUACCAUUGGAACUUGAGAAAUUUUUGAGAUUUGUUGUGAGAGAGUUUUAUUUUUUGUCAGUGUGAACACCUUGCUUCUCAAUCCUGGUGACAAUGUCCAGGUUUGGUACUAUGACUUCUCAUCAAAAAUCUAA
Molecule: long non-coding RNA, 8479 nt
Organism: Cavia porcellus (domestic guinea pig)
Lineage: Eukaryota; Metazoa; Chordata; Mammalia; Rodentia; Caviidae
Exons: 7
Source: RefSeq, a predicted model, not a curated record